RNAcentral lists this ribosomal RNA (714 nucleotides) under uncultured prokaryote. Its description in RNAcentral is "bacterial SSU rRNA". It matches the Rfam family "Bacterial small subunit ribosomal RNA", at positions 28 to 760 of the family's 1533-position model. The record is from RNAcentral.
GAUGAACGCUGACAGAAUGCUUAACACAUGCAAGUCGAUUCGAUUUACCUUCGGGUAUUGAGGAUGGCGGACGGGUGAGUAACGCGUAAGGAACUUGCCUCUUGGUCUGGGACAACUGUUGGAAACGACAGCUAAUACCGGAUAUUAUGAGAUUCUCGCAUGGGAAACUUAUGAAAGCUAUAUGCGCCAAGAGAGAGCCUUGCGUUCCAUUAGCUAGUUGGUGGGGUAACGGCCCACCAAGGCGACGAUGGAUAGCCGGCCUGAGAGGGUGAACGGCCACAAGGGGACUGAGACACGGCCCUUACUCCUACGGGAGGCAGCAGUGGGGAAUAUUGGACAAUGGGCCACAAGCCUGAUCCAGCAAUUCUGUGUGCACGAUGAAGGUCUUCGGAUUGUAAAGUGCUUUCAGUUGGGAAGAAGAAAGUGACGGUACCAACAGAAGAAGCGACGGCUAAAUACGUGCCAGCAGCCGCGGUAAUACGUAUGUCGCAAGCGUUAUCCGGAUUUAUUGGGCGUAAAGCGCGUCUAGGCGGAAAAAUAAGUCUGAUGUUAAAAUGCGGGGCUCAACUCCGUAUUGCGUUGGAAACUGUUUUUCUAGAGUACUGGAGAGGUGGGCGGAACUACAAGUGUAGAGGUGAAAUUCGUAGAUAUUUGUAGGAAUGCCGAUGGAGAAGUCAGCUCACUGGACAGANACUGACGCUAAAGCGCGAAAGC